GUAGGUGGCAAGCGUUGUCCGGAAUUAUUGGGCGUAAAGCGCGCGCAGGCUGUUCUUUAAGUCUGAUGUGAAAGCCCACGGCUCAACCGUGGAGGGUCAUUGGAAACUGGAGAACUUGAGUACAGAAGAGGAAAGCGGAAUUCCACGUGUAGCGGUGAAAUGCGUAGAGAUGUGGAGGAACACCAGUGGCGAAGGCGGCUUUCUGGUCUGUAACUGACGCUGAGGCGCGAAAGCGUGGGGGAGCAAACAGGAUUAGAUACCCUGGUAGUCCACGCCGUAAACCGAUGAGUGCUAAGUGUUAGGGGGGUUUUCCGCCCCGUUAGUGCUGCAGCUAACGCAUUAAGCACUCCGCCUGGGAGUACGGCCGCAAGGCUG
This 375-nucleotide ribosomal RNA is filed under the name uncultured organism. RNAcentral's name for it is "partial 16S ribosomal RNA". It matches the Rfam family "Bacterial small subunit ribosomal RNA", at positions 527 to 896 of the family's 1533-position model. The record is from RNAcentral.